CGGCGAGUAGCGCAGCUUGGUAGCGCAACUGGUUUGGGACGGGACCAGUGGGUCGGAGGUUCGAAUCCUCUCUCGCCGA
This 79-nucleotide transfer RNA is filed under the name Enterobacteriaceae bacterium bta3-1. Its description in RNAcentral is "tRNA-Pro". It matches the Rfam family "tRNA". From Rfam's summary of the family: Transfer RNA (tRNA) molecules are approximately 80 nucleotides in length. The record is from RNAcentral. Lineage: Bacteria; Pseudomonadati; Pseudomonadota; Gammaproteobacteria; Enterobacterales; Enterobacteriaceae.